UGGGGAAUAUUGGACAAUGGGGGAAACCCUGAUCCAGCAAUGCCGCGUGAGUGAAGAAGGCCUUAGGGUUGUAAAGCUCUUUCGCCCGCGAAGAUAAUCACGGUAGCGGGAGAAGAAGCCCCGGCUAACUCCGUGCCAGCAGCCGCGGUAAUACGGAGGGGGCUAGCGUUGUUCGGAAUUACUGGGCGUAAAGCGUACGUAGGCGGAUGCGCAAGUUGGGGGUGAAAUCCCGGGGCUUAACUGGGAGGGUGCGCCGAAGACUGGGAAGCUGGAGUGUGGGAAAGGCAGGCGGAAUUCCUGGUGUAGCGGUGAAAUGCGUAGAUAUCAGGAGGAACACCGGCGGUGUAGACGGCUUGCUAGACCAUAACUGACGCUGAGGCACGAAAGCGUGGGUAGCAAACA
This 402-nucleotide ribosomal RNA is filed under the name uncultured bacterium. RNAcentral describes it as "bacterial SSU rRNA". It matches the Rfam family "Bacterial small subunit ribosomal RNA", at positions 355 to 774 of the family's 1533-position model. The record is from RNAcentral.